CCUACGGGGCGCAGCAGUGAGGAAUAUUGGUCCAUGGGCGCGAGCCUGAACCAGCCAAGUCGCGUGAGGGAAGACGGUCCUAUGGAUUGUAAACCUCUUUUGUCGGGGAGCAAAAGACGCCACGCGUGGCGUUCCGAGAGUACCCGAAGAAAAAGCAUCGGCUAACUCCGUGCCAGCAGCCGCGGUAAUACGGAGGAUGCGAGUGUUAUCCGGAUCCACUGGGUGUAAAGGGAGCGUAGACGGCCGUGCAAGCCAAGAGUGAAAGCCCGGGGCCCAACCCCGGGACUGCUCUUGGAACUGUGCGGCUGGAGUGCGGGAGGGGCAGGCGGAAUUCCUGGUGUAGCGGUGAAAUGCGUAGAUAUCAGGAGGAACACCGGCGGCGAAGGCGGCCUGCUGGACCGCGACUGACGUUGAGGCUCGAAAGCGUGGGGAGCGAACAGGAUUAGAUACCCUUGUAGUC
RNAcentral lists this ribosomal RNA (460 nucleotides) under uncultured bacterium. RNAcentral's name for it is "partial 16S ribosomal RNA". It matches the Rfam family "Bacterial small subunit ribosomal RNA", at positions 338 to 795 of the family's 1533-position model. The record is from RNAcentral.